CCCUAACACAUGCAAGCCGAACGGAGUUAUAUUGUAGCUUGCUACGGUAUAACUUAGUGGCAGACGGGUGAGUAAUGUAUAGGAAUCUACCUAGUAGUACGGAAUAAAUGUUGGAAACGGCAACUAAUACCGUAUACGCCCUACCGGGGGAAAAAUUUAUUGCUAUUAGAUGAGCCUAUAUUAGAUUAGCUAGUUGGUGGGGUAAUAGCCUACCAAGGUAAUGAUCUAUAGCUGAUCUGAGAGGAUGAUCAGCCACACUGGAACUGAGAUACGGUCCAGACUCCUACGGGAGGCAGCAGUGGGGAAUAUUGGACAAUGGGCGAAAGCCUGAUCCAGCCAUGCCGCAUGAGUGAAGAAGGCCUUUGGGUUGUAAAGCUCUUUUAGUGAGGAAGAUAAUGACGGUACUCACAGAAGAAGUCCUGGCUAACUCCGUGCCAGCAGCCGCGGUAAUACGGAGAGGGCUAGCGCUAUUCGGAGUUUUUGGGCGUAAAGGGCGCGUAGGCU
Molecule: ribosomal RNA, 504 nt
Filed under: Wolbachia endosymbiont of Bemisia tabaci
Lineage: Bacteria; Pseudomonadati; Pseudomonadota; Alphaproteobacteria; Rickettsiales; Anaplasmataceae
Description: bacterial SSU rRNA
Rfam family: Bacterial small subunit ribosomal RNA
Source: RNAcentral